This 254-nucleotide ribosomal RNA is filed under the name uncultured bacterium. RNAcentral describes it as "partial 16S ribosomal RNA". It matches the Rfam family "Bacterial small subunit ribosomal RNA", at positions 524 to 776 of the family's 1533-position model. The record is from RNAcentral.
UACGUAGGGGGCUAGCGUUGUCCGGAAUUAUUGGGCGUAAAGAGCUCGUAGGUGGUUCGGUAAGUCGGAUGUGAAAUCUCCAGGCUCAACCUGGAGGGGUCAUUCGAUACUGCCGUGACUAGAGGUCGGUAGGGGAGUGUGGAAUUCCUGGUGGAGCGGUGAAAUGCGCAGAUAUCAGGAGGAACACCCGUAGCGAAGGCGGCACUCUGGGCCGAUACUGACACUGAGGAGCGAAAGCGUGGGGAGCGAACAGG